Molecule: ribosomal RNA, 506 nt
Filed under: uncultured bacterium
Lineage: Bacteria
Description: partial 16S ribosomal RNA
Source: RNAcentral
GGAGUUAGCCGGUGCUUCUUCUGUGAGUGAUGUCCUUCCUGCCGGCUAUUAACCCGCAGGCCUUCUUCCUCACUGAAAGUGCUUUACAACCCGAAGGCCUUCUUCACACACGCGGCAUGGCUGGAUCAGGGUUGCCCCCAUUGUCCAAUAUUCCCCACUGCUGCCUCCCGUAGGAGUCUGGGCCGUGUCUCAGUCCCAGUGUGGCUGAUCAUCCUCUCAGACCAGCUACGGAUCGUCGCCUUGGUGAGCCGUUACCUCACCAACCAGCUAAUCCGACAUAGGCUCAUCCGAUAGCGCGAGGCCCGAAGGUCCCCCGCUUUCCCCGUAGGGCGUAUGCGGUAUUAGCCUGGGUUUCCCCAGGUUAUCCCCCACUACCGGGCAGAUUCCUAUGCAUUACUCACCCGUCCGCCGCUCGCCACCAGGGAGCAAGCUCCCCGUGCUGCCGCUCGACUUGCAUGUGUUAGGCCUGCCGCCAGCGUUCAAUCUGAGCCAGGAUCAAACUCUGA